Molecule: long non-coding RNA, 1270 nt
Filed under: Apteryx owenii (little spotted kiwi)
Lineage: Eukaryota; Metazoa; Chordata; Aves; Apterygiformes; Apterygidae
Description: lncRNA (ENSAOWG00000008409.1)
Source: RNAcentral
AUGAGGACAAGGACGAGAGGAGGAGGACGAGGAGGAGAGGAGGAGGAGGACAAGGAGGAGGAGGAGGAGGAGGAGGAGGAGGAAGCAGGAGAAGGACCUUUGGUAUUAUCACAAACCUUGUUCUCUGCAGGGCUGCAUUGCAAAGCACCACAGUACAAUAAGCCCACCAGAGGAACAGGUUCUCCUAAUCGCGGGAGGACUGUGAGGGCUCCCAGUCAAACGCUGAGUUUCACCCUGUGCCGAAAGCUGGAGAGGUGCAGAGUCAUGUAAUAGCAAGCAGAGGUGAGGAGUGGACUUGGCUCGUCAAAUCACUUGAUUCAAUCGUAUAAAAGGAUAAAAGAAACAAAUACAAAGGGCUCCAUUUACUCCCCAAAGAGAAACAACCAACUUUUAAGUAAUCACUUAGGAACAUGAUACUAAUGGAGCUUAAUGUAUCUUUGUUUCAUCGCUAACUUGAGAAAAAAUAAUUAAUUGAUUUUCAUAUGAGAACUGUAGUUGUAAACAACAACAAGAAGCUCAGCAGGGGAAAGCAGCCCUUGUUUUCUGCGCUGCUCGGCGGCAGCUCGGCAGCGCGUGGCCAUCCCGCCCUGACACCAAGCAUCCUUUCCCCAUGCCCCUCCGCAGCUGCUGACGCCUGGACAAGGUCUAGCUAGGAAUGACUACGGCCUGUGCCUCCUCGCCUCCCUCUGUUUUAUGCCAUGGCUGGUGGGACCAGGCUCUACAGCUUCCCGUCCCACGUGUUAGAGGUUCUGCCACAGGUGAUAAGUAGUUUCAGGCAUGCCUGGGUCUCGCACACGCUGCCCACUGGGAAGGCCGGUGCCGAACCCUCCUGUCCAGGACAGAAAAACCUCCAGGUUUCAUUUCUGGAGCUUUUACUAAGGGUUUUUUCUACAUUGGGAAGGCGAGUCUGCAAGCAGGCGUAUGGCUUGAGCAGCUCCUCUCUGCAAACUUGAGGGUGCCAAGCGCCUGCAGCAAGAGGGACUGCACUGGAUGGUGCCUGGCCUCCAGCGGGGUCAUGCAAGGUGAAGGGGGCUCCUUGCACGGUUUCAGCCAAGACACGUGCGCACACGGUCCGGGCAAACCGGGCUUCGGUUGAGUGAAGAGGUUGGCAUGGUCACAAGUGGGUGCUUCCCACCAGGGACGUUGGUCACUGACAUUGGCCAGAGAUAACGUUCCUCUUGGUCUUUUCUCCCUUUACGCCUGAGAGCCCCAGCUGGGACUCAUCUUGCCUGAUUACAGAUAUUUAAAGUGGUUGCAGUGGUCAGGUAGC